GAUGAACGCUGGCGGCGUGCCUAACACAUGCAAGUCGAACGAAAGGACCAGGUGUUUGCUCGCCUGAUGUUAGCGGCGGACGGGAGAGUCACUUGUGUAUCACCUACCUAUCAGACUGGGAUACUAUUGCGAAACCGUAUCUAAUAACGGAUAAUAUUUUGCAUCGCGUUGUUCCAAAGUGAAAUUCGGUAUUUCUGUCAGUAAUAGCUGGAUACGCGCUGCAUUAGCUUGUUGGUAAGGGAACGGCUUACCAAGGCUAGGAUGCAUAACCGGCCUGAGAGAGAGGUCGGCCACACGGGAACUGAGACACGGUACAGACUCCGAAGGGAGGCAACAGUAGGGAAUCCUCCGCAACGGGGGAGAGGCGGACAGAGCAAAACGGCGGGAGUGAUGAAGGUGUUCGGAUCGGAAAGCUCUGUUAGUAGGGGGGAACAUAUGUGUAAGUAACUGGGAAGAUCUUGACGGUACCUGGACAAAAAGCCACGGCUAACUACGUG
RNAcentral lists this ribosomal RNA (497 nucleotides) under uncultured bacterium. RNAcentral's name for it is "partial 16S ribosomal RNA". It matches the Rfam family "Bacterial small subunit ribosomal RNA", at positions 28 to 507 of the family's 1533-position model. The record is from RNAcentral.